GCUUACCACUUUGUGAUUCAUGACUGGGGUGAAGUCGUAACAAGGUAACCGUAGGGGAACCUGCGGUUGGAUCACCUCCUUACCUGAAAGAAGC
This 94-nucleotide ribosomal RNA is filed under the name Salmonella enterica subsp. enterica serovar Gallinarum. RNAcentral describes it as "partial 16S ribosomal RNA". The stretch from base 1 to 82 matches the Rfam family "Bacterial small subunit ribosomal RNA", at positions 1452 to 1533 of the family's 1533-position model. RNAcentral also lists the same sequence under 2 other names. The record is from RNAcentral. Lineage: Bacteria; Pseudomonadati; Pseudomonadota; Gammaproteobacteria; Enterobacterales; Enterobacteriaceae.